GUGCCAGCAGCCGCGGUAAUACGUAGGUGGCGAGCGUUGUCCGUAAUCAUUGGGCGUAAAGGGAGCGCAGGCGGGCAUGUAAGUCUUUCUUAAAAGUGCGGGGCUCAACCCCGUGAUGGGAAAGGAACUACAUGUCUUGAGUACAGGAGAGGAAAGCGGAAUUCCCAGUGUAGCGGUGAAAUGCGUAGAUAUUGGGAGGAACACCAGUGGCGAAGGCGGCUUUCUGGACUGCAACUGACGCUGAGGCUCGAAAGCCAGGGGAGCGAACGGGAUUAGAUACCCCGGUAGUCCUGGCCGUAAACGAUGGAUACUAGGUGUGGGAGGUAUCGACCCCUACCGUGCCGGAGUUAACGCAAUAAGUAUCCCGCCUGGGGAGUACGGUCGCAAGACUGAAACUCAAAUAAAUUGACGG
Molecule: ribosomal RNA, 412 nt
Filed under: uncultured bacterium
Lineage: Bacteria
Description: bacterial SSU rRNA
Rfam family: Bacterial small subunit ribosomal RNA
Source: RNAcentral